RNAcentral lists this ribosomal RNA (409 nucleotides) under bacterium. Its description in RNAcentral is "partial 16S ribosomal RNA". It matches the Rfam family "Bacterial small subunit ribosomal RNA", at positions 355 to 776 of the family's 1533-position model. The record is from RNAcentral.
UGGGGAAUAUUGCACAAUGGGCGAAAGCCUGAUGCAGCGACGCCGCGUGAGGGAUGACGGCCUUCGGAUUGUAAACCUCUUUCAGUAGGGACGAAGCGCAAGUGACGGUACCUGCAGAAGAAGCACCGGCUAACUACGUGCCAGCAGCCGCGGUAAUACGUAGGGUGCGAGCGUUGUCCGGAAUUACUGGGCGUAAAGAGCUCGUAGGCGGUUUGUCACGUCGUCUGUGAAAUCCUAGGGCUUAACCCUGGACGUGCAGGCGAUACGGGCUGACUUGAGUACUACAGGGGAGACUGGAAUUUCUGGUGUAGCGGUGGAAUGCACAGAUAUCAGGAAGAACACCGAUGGCGAAGGCAGGUCUCUGGGUAGUAACUGACGCUGAGGAGCGAAAGCAUGGGUAGCGAACAGG